AGAAUCAACGCUGGCGGCGUGCCUAACACAUGCAAGUCGAACGAGAAAGGGUAGCAAUACCUGAGUAAAGUGGCGCACGGGUGAGUAACACGUGACUAACCUACCCUGGAGUGGGGGAUAACUGAGGGAACCUUAGCUAAUACCGCAUAAUACCUACGGGUCAAAGGAGCAAUUCGCUUCAGGAGGGGUCGCGGCCGAUUAGUUAGUUGGCGGGGUAAUGGCCCACCAAGACGAUGAUCGGUA
This 243-nucleotide ribosomal RNA is filed under the name uncultured bacterium. RNAcentral describes it as "partial small subunit ribosomal RNA". It matches the Rfam family "Bacterial small subunit ribosomal RNA", at positions 26 to 285 of the family's 1533-position model. The record is from RNAcentral.